AAAAAGUACAUUAAGUAUAACACAAAUAUAUAUAGAUCAAACUCAACCAAAAAAAAAAAAAAAACAAUAUGCUACCUUGCAUUUCAAUCUGUUAUGACCUUCUGCACCACAGUUACUGCAGUGAAGGGUUGUGUGGUAUCUAGGAAGCUUGUGAGGAUUGUGGUUUUUCUUUGGUUCAUCAACUACUUUCUUCCUACUCUUUUUUGGCCUUCCUGUCUGCUUAUGAUACAAAGGCACCAGUCAAGUCACCUUGGCACUAGUCACCAC
Molecule: long non-coding RNA, 267 nt
Filed under: Prunus persica (peach)
Lineage: Eukaryota; Viridiplantae; Streptophyta; Magnoliopsida; Rosales; Rosaceae
Description: long non-coding RNA (PPER_LNC006148)
Source: RNAcentral